Molecule: ribosomal RNA, 965 nt
Filed under: Microbacterium testaceum
Lineage: Bacteria; Bacillati; Actinomycetota; Actinomycetes; Micrococcales; Microbacteriaceae
Description: bacterial SSU rRNA
Rfam family: Bacterial small subunit ribosomal RNA
Source: RNAcentral
GCGGCGUGCUUAACACAUGCAAGUCGAACGGUGAAGCCAAGCUUGCUUGGUGGAUCAGUGGCGAACGGGUGAGUAACACGUGAGCAACCUGCCCUGGACUCUGGGAUAAGCGCUGGAAACGGCGUCUAAUACUGGAUAUGUGACGUGAUCGCAUGGUCGUGUUUGGAAAGAUUUUUCGGUCUGGGAUGGGCUCGCGGCCUAUCAGCUUGUUGGUGAGGUAAUGGCUCACCAAGGCGUCGACGGGUAGCCGGCCUGAGAGGGUGACCGGCCACACUGGGACUGAGACACGGCCCAGACUCCUACGGGAGGCAGCAGUGGGGAAUAUUGCACAAUGGGCGGAAGCCUGAUGCAGCAACGCCGCGUGAGGGAUGACGGCCUUCGGGUUGUAAACCUCUUUUAGCAGGGAAGAAGCGAAAGUGACGGUACCUGCAGAAAAAGCGCCGGCUAACUACGUGCCAGCAGCCGCGGUAAUACGUAGGGCGCAAGCGUUAUCCGGAAUUAUUGGGCGUAAAGAGCUCGUAGGCGGUUUGUCGCGUCUGCUGUGAAAUCCCGAGGCUCAACCUCGGGCCUGCAGUGGGUACGGGCAGACUAGAGUGCGGUAGGGGAGAUUGGAAUUCCUGGUGUAGCGGUGGAAUGCGCAGAUAUCAGGAGGAACACCGAUGGCGAAGGCAGAUCUCUGGGCCGUAACUGACGCUGAGGAGCGAAAGGGUGGGGAGCAAACAGGCUUAGAUACCCUGGUAGUCCACCCCGUAAACGUUGGGAACUAGUUGUGGGGACCAUUCCACGGUUUCCGUGACGCAGCUAACGCAUUAAGUUCCCCGCCUGGGGAGUACGGCCGCAAGGCUAAAACUCAAAGGAAUUGACGGGGACCCGCACAAGCGGCGGAGCAUGCGGAUUAAUUCGAUGCAACGCGAAGAACCUUACCAAGGCUUGACAUAUACGAGAACGGGCCAGAAAUGGUCAAC